This is a long non-coding RNA of Marmota monax (woodchuck), 6338 nucleotides long. RefSeq lists it as uncharacterized. The record is from RefSeq and is a predicted model, not a curated record. NCBI's taxonomy places the organism in Eukaryota, Metazoa, Chordata, Mammalia, Rodentia, Sciuridae. The transcript is spliced from 6 exons.
AGAACUAAUUUGCUAUUCGGUGACAUAAGAGGGGGAGUGCGCUUUGCUUUCCCGGGGUCUGGGGCUAAUUCUUCCUCUCUUACCAUAAACUCAGCUCCUCGAGCUAAAUGCAUAAAAGGGAGCGAGAGAUUUGAACCACUAGAACAAGUAUAUUAUAUAUAGUAGGUUUAGAGAGACGAGUAAGAGGAAAAAAACAAUAAACACUACAGCUCUCUCCAGCUAAUAUAUUAGGCACCACGAGAAAAAUAUUUGCCAAGCAGUGUUCGAAUUGAGGAAAGCAAGUCUACAUUGGGUCCUGUGAAAACUGGAAACUGGUUCUCAGAACCAACUCCAGGUAUUGACUCCUCGGUUUUCACAACUGAGUGGAAGAGGAACUGGUAUUGUCUCUGCUUUGAGGAAUGCCUAAGUUUGCACAGCUGCUACAUGAGGAAGCCUUUGUUCCGGAGGGAGGCAGAGACUCCAGGGCCUGGGGAAUCCUAACACAAUGUUCCACUGCCUCUCAUCAGUCCUGGCCAGCAGAUAGAUCACUCCUCCACAGACAGUAGCCUCAGAGGAAGAGUGAUGUCCACUCUUGGAUUUAAGAUAGCACCCAGCACCUAGAAGGCCUCAUCUGGGAAGUGUUGGAUCAAAGAAUAAAGGAGUGAGAUUGGGGAAGACACAAUAAGAAAUGAAGGCCUUAGAGGAGUCAAGUUUGGGGGAAGCAUCCUAAAACCUACAGCUCAGCAGAUCGUGUGAAGCAGUCAAGAGGCCUGCGGAAAUAUUCAUCUGGACCCACACACUCGCUCUGUCUGCCUCUCCCGCCCUGUCUGUGUGGACCGGUCUCUCGCUGUAUGAGAAGCCAAUUCUAAGAACAGCCUCUGGCUUUGACUCCUGAUUUGAGGCCAUUAGGUUUGUCUUGUGAUGUGGGAAUUCCAGGCUUACCUGUUUGAAGGAGGUAAAAUUCCAGAAUGGUCACAGGUAUGGGCUCUGGAGUUAGCCUGUUUGACUCAGCUCUCAAAUCCCAGCAAAUUGUUAGCUGUGAAUGACUGACUUUCUGCCUAAGUUUCCUGCUCUGUAAAGUAGGGAUAAUCAGCAUAGCUGUGUGGCAGUGUAAAAAAGGUAGAGUAUAAUUCCUGGCAUAGAGUAAAUUCCCAAGGAAUGUGAGUUCAUCUCAUUACAAUGGAAUGAAUGGGGCAUGAGCUCAGAGCCUGGGGCAGAACCAGGAAGGAGGCUUCCAGAAUGCAGAUCCUUUAAUCCCUUUAAAGCAAUAUGCAAACAGAAGUGUCUACCUCUGUGGAAGCCACCAAGCUCAGAGGUGUCAGUUAAGGGACAAAGGUCAUCACCUCUGAGUUACCCUCUCUCCUUGGUUCAUCUGGCACCUCUGUCAUCUCUGGCUAUCGCCACAGUUUCUUGUGAGAAAUGAUAGAAUCCAUGUCCUGUGAAGUUACACAUAGGUGAACCCUGGCCGUGUGGCUAACCUGCCAUCCCCUCUAAAAUCCCUUAGGGAUAGUGUAUGCUACACAUUUUAAUUUCCUGAAAGAGAAAAUAAACUAAUAAUCAAAUUCAGGAGGACUUAGGACUAUGAAAGAAAGCAGAUGUGGUGGGUGGUAGGUUGCAUCCUUCUCAUUUAUAGCCAUCCCCCUUUGUGGUAUGAGCCUGGAGCAUGGAGGCAGGUAAUUGUGGCUAGGAUCAAACCAUCAUGCCAAUAAUCACUCUUCUAUGCCAGGCUGGAGGGUUUUCAAUAAUGCUUUCAUAUACAACAAGAAUAAUUGUAACUCUCGUACCUCCUUCUCUUUUGGGCUACCAAAAGUUGCAGAAUUAUUAUGAUCCCCACUUUACCUGUGAUAAAACCGAGGUCCAGAGACUUGGAAGAACCUGAUCACAGUCACACAGCUGGAAUUAGGUCUUCAGAGUGAAGGUGGAGAGGCCCUUUCCCCUCCACAGCUGCACCCUCACAUUUUGUUUGUGUGAUCAUCAUACAAUACUCCAACUCCUUCGAGGUCCAGAAAGAAGAUUUCUUUUUUGUCCCACCUUUCAUCUUUUCAGGACAAAUCUGAGUACGGCAUUAACAGUGUUCUGGGAGUUCCUCUGUGAUGGCACACAUUUCCCUGUAUUGUGACCAUCUCCUGCAUGUCUCUCCCACGGGGGUGUGAUCUCCUGAAGGCCUGGGAUCUAUCCACCCAUCUGUGGGUGCGAGGCACCCAGCUCAGAGCCUGGGGAGUGGUAGAUGCUUAUCAACCGAAUGGCGAACCUCUUCAUGCUACAAACUCAAUGUCCUUUGAAUGUCUUUGUCUCUCCGAUUCCUAUCUGUCCUUCUAUUCCCAGCUCCAGGCUUAUGAUGAUAACCUUCUCUUCUGAGCUUCCGUGUAAUCAUAAACUCUCAGCUAUAUUCCUAGAGCAUAUAUUUCUUAUCUUUCAGCCUACAGAGUUCUUGAGAGGAGAGAUUGCAUCUGAGUUCCCAAUGGGUUCCUCAUGGGUCCCAGGUCCCUGCCAGUUCCAGGCAGAGUGGGUGCAUGGUUAAGUGCCUGUGCCACGCUCACAUGGUUGCCUGAAUUAUGGUAAGAGCCAUUGGGAUAGGUUGGUGGCAGAGCCCAAGAUGCUUUGGCAGAGACCCAGUUAGUAAGAGAAAGAAGGAGCUGAUAGCCAGGAGCUCAGCCCUUGCCUGGCCCAUCAGUCACCUCUUUCCUACCCACUGAGGCUGUGUCUCACAGAGGCUCUGCAGAUGGGGAAUUCCUUGAUGCCAGAGACAGGAUCCCUGAAGUGAUCAAGCUGCAGGGCAAAAAGUUAUCCCUGUAGCUUAUGUGUGUAAAGAACUACAAACCAGAGGAUCAUUGCCAGGAAGGAGAAAAGACAAGGGUAUCAUGAACCAGCUGGAUGUGAAUAGGACGCACUGGGAACCUGGAACACCAAGCUAGUUAAUUAGCAAGUUAGUGAGCCACUAAGUUAGUCUGCUUUAAACAAGGGAAGAAGACUGUGAUUUAAAAUAAAUUAAUCAGAAGAGGUAACAACCAACCAUUUCAUCAACUUUUCAGCUCUUUUGACCUAAUAAUUCUACUGUUGGAGGUUUAUUCUAAGGAAAUAAUUAAAUACUAGGGAAAAGGGUAACAGAAAAGAGGUAUUAUUGAUAACAGAAGUGAAUUAGAGGCAACUUAAAUAUCCCAUAAUUAUUUUUGAAUGCUGAUCUAAAUUAUAUCCACUAAAGUAAUAUUUUGAAGUCAUUGAAAUAUGUGUUAUAUUGAGACCACAUUAGUAAUAUGCAUUGUGUGAUGCUUUAUGGGAAAGAUCGGGAUGCAAACUCUUAUUUGUGCUGCAUGUCCAACACUGAAAAAAAUAUGCCUUUUGGGAAGACAGGAAAGAAUGAAAAUAGAUGAUUUGUAAAGAUAGUAAGCUUGUGGGUGGCUUUUUAUUUCCAUAAUCAUGGUAUUAUGUUUUUGUAUAAUUUUUUAAAACUUAUGUUAAUCAGAAACUUAAAAGAAUAACACCUUAACAAAAGAUGCAUCGCACCCGGCAGUCCUUUCAAAGAAGCUGAACAUUAGACAGGCUCCUUUUCUAUACUCAUUUUCCCACACAAGUCCAGUGUAGAUUUCUCUCACUGCUAGUGAAUUUGAAAUUAGGUAUGUGAAAAGUCAGGAACACUUUUGACCAGAUAGCUACAGAUACGGAUAGAGAUAUAGAUACUCAUCUAAACUUAGGUAUAAUUUCCCUUGAAAGAUAAACUUCUAAUACCUCAAAUGUCUGAUGUAAAAUUGUGCCCACAAAGGAAGAGUGGGGAAGAUAAUAAAUAUAUGGAUUGAAAUGCCCUUGCAAAUACACAAGAGCUUACAAAUCAAAGAGUCCAUGUUUAAGAGACCCAUGUAGAUCAAAGUUCUGGUCUUGCUUUCAAACGUUUCCCAGAGAUCCAGACACCACCUGUCUCACCCAAGUCCCUGGGUCACUUGCUUCUAUCAGUUAGUCCUGUUAAACAGUUCAGCAUCUGGAAAUCCCAGACAUCUUUCAGCUCACGUGAGAUAAGCAGUCCGUGUUCUCUGGAAAUACCAAAGUCAACAAUGAGACACAAAAACACCCAAAUACUAUUACAUCUUAAAAACGUCAAUGUCGUCACCAGGGGUCCUGUUUCUCUAGCUCUCAGAAAUUCAAGGUCUUCCCUGGAAGGCCCAACAUCAGUUUAUCUCCUGUAUCCACCUGCUUGAGAGAAUAGCAACUGGAAUUGUUAAUGAAGUUAUUAUAGAAAUACUCAUAAUUUAAAAAUGAACCAUGAAUUUUACAUAUCACUUUCAAACAUUAUUAUGGGAUACAUAUGAUAAAGUAUCACUAUCCCCCAAUAUAUAUAUCUAUAUAUCUAUAUCUAUAUAUAUAUCUAUAUAUAUCUUAUUACUUACAUUUCUACCAUUUUCACAGACUCUUAAAGUUCUAGUGGCCAGUGUUAACUUCUUCCAUCUUAAAAAAAAAUGCUGCAGUAAUUAAAAAAAAAAAAAAAAAAGACUGGAAAUGGUAGUGUGUUGCUCAACUUAUUCAAUUUUUUUCUUUAACAGACACCACAUCCUUAUCUAUAGUAGCUUAAAAAUAAAGUCUACAGAUCGAAGAUUAUUUAUACAUGAAACUUCUCUCUUAUAGUCAUUCAAAUAAUUUGUUUUCUCUCAUUUUCAUACAUUUUAUUGGAAUAUCAUUUAUAUUGUAUACUUGGCAUAGUCUUCUAAUUCAGAAAAAUUGUUAAUUUUUUUUAAAAAAACCUUCAAAAGUAUAAAAAGGCAAACUUGGAACUAUUGGUUGUAAUAUUCUGCUAGUAGUAUUAAUAGCAAGCAGCUAUUCACACUCAUUCAGAGGAAUACUGUAAAUUCAAAAUUAAUUUUACUUUCUACCAAAAAUCACAAUUCAGUAUUUCUUUGAGGAUAUUCAAGUUUUGAUUUUUCUUCCAGGGUACCUUGUAUCUUAUCAGUAUUAAAUCUAAUGGCUUUAACAGCUUUCUCCAUAAUAGGUCCAAGAAUGUUUUUCAGGUUAGAUGCAAUGUAUAUUAUAAAAUAAAGAGUCUAUUUAAAAAGAGUCUAGCCAGGCUCGGUGGUGCACGCUUGUAAUCCCAGAUACUCGGAAGGCUGAAGCAUGAUGAUCGCAAAUUCAAACCCAGCCUCAGUAACUUAGUGAGACCCUGAGCAACUUAGGGAGAUCCUGUCUCUAAUAAAACAUUUUAGAAGGUCUGGGGAUGUGGCUUGGUGUUUAAGCACCCCUUGGUUCAGUCCUUGGUACCAAAAAAAGAAAAGAAAAAAAUAAAUAAAAAAGAGAUUCUGUCUUUGGGCAGAACUCCUAAAUACUGAACAUAAUCUUUGAAGUGUCCCAAAAGUAGGCGAUUUUAGUUAGCACAGUUGAGGCUCAUCUUCCAGUAAGACAUGGAAUUUAUGAACCAUAUAUAUAACAAAGAGUGCUUCUGGAUUUUAGACCAAAUUCCAAUCUAUAUACCUUUUUCCUUAUCAUUUGUUUUAGUGUCAAUUAUAGGCUUGCUUUUGGCAAUCUCUGAAGUAAAUGAACAAAGCCCCAAAAUACUCUUUUAGUUUUUCAUUUAAAUUGAAACCUGUACUUUUUGGUUUUUUUUAAAGACGUGUAAAACCAAUAAAAUUAAUUUUAACAUUCCUGUUUUCUUCUUUGGUAUACUUCAUUGAUAUGCACAAUGGUUGUUAGUUGUUCAAUGUGACUUUUGCCCCUGAGGAAUCUAGUUAAAUUGGAUAAUAAAAAUGAAUUUUGUUAUUUCUUGUUUGUCUUACAUAUUUGGGCCUUUCAAUGACGCAUUCCACAGAAAUUCUAGUAGAUACAAAUAUUUUCCAUUUUUAAAUUUCCUGAGAAGAUUAAUCCAUUAGUGCUACAAAAAGCAUUACUGUGUUUGGUUAAACAAUAUUACAUUUUUAAAAAUUUCAUACUAACAUUCAAGCAUUAAGCAUUUGCUUUGUCUUUGAUAUAUACAGAUGACCCCCAACUUAUAAUGGUUUGACUUACAAUGUUUUGGCUUUACAUAGUGUGAAAACAACAUGCAUUCAGUAGAAAUCUUACUUGGAAUUUUGAACUUGAUUUUUCCCCCAGCUGGCACAUGGACAGACCAUAGUUCUCAUUCAGCCAGGUGAUCAGGACAACAAGUCUUCCUUGUUGCUAAUCGACAAUGUUUGCUAGGUUAGGUACAUUAAGUGCAUUUGCAACUUAUAAUAUUUUCAAGUUACAAUAAGUUUAUCAGUAUGUAACCUCAUCAUUAGUCAGUUUGCUCAUUUUCAUUUUUUCUAUUUUAAGGAAUUAGGCAAAUCACCUCUUUAUUUCUUUUUCUCCUCAAAUCUUCUUUCAUAAAAGCCUCUUGUGCUUUUCUAUAUCUUUCUUUUCCAUUU